Molecule: transfer RNA, 26 nt
Filed under: Serpophaga nigricans
Lineage: Eukaryota; Metazoa; Chordata; Aves; Passeriformes; Tyrannidae
Also listed under: 1 other name
Description: partial tRNA-Met
Source: RNAcentral
UGAUGGUUUAAUUCCUUCCCUUACUA